Danio rerio (zebrafish) is the source of this 54-nucleotide non-coding RNA. The record is from Rfam. NCBI's taxonomy places the organism in Eukaryota, Metazoa, Chordata, Actinopteri, Cypriniformes, Danionidae.
UGUGUUCACAGGUGUAAGUCGCUUUGGAUAAAAGUGUUUGCUAAAUGCAUAAAU